CCCUUAGAUGUUCUGGGCCGCACGCGUGCUACACUGAGUGGAUCAGCGGGUCAGGUUGCGCGAAAGUGUUUCCUAAUCUUGAAAUCCGCUCGUGAUGGGGAUUGACGGUUGCAAUUUUCCGUCAUGAACGAGGAAUACCUUGUAAGCGCGGGUCAUCAUCCCGCGCUGAAUACGUCCCUGCCCUUUGUACACACCGCCCGUCGCUCCUACCGAUUGAGUGGUCCGGUGAGGCUUUGGGAUCUGAGCGUAAAGAGCGUUUCGCUGUUUCUGCUCGGAAAACUCAGUCGAACCUUAUCAUUUAGAGGAAGGAGAAGUCGUAACA
RNAcentral lists this ribosomal RNA (322 nucleotides) under uncultured eukaryote. Its description in RNAcentral is "partial 18S ribosomal RNA". It matches the Rfam family "Eukaryotic small subunit ribosomal RNA", at positions 1470 to 1796 of the family's 1831-position model. The record is from RNAcentral.